GACAGAGGGUGCAAACGUUGUUCGGAAUUACUGGGCGUAAAGCGAGUGUAGGCGGUUUCGUAAGUCGGAUGUGAAAGCCCCGGGCUCAACUCGGGAAGUGCACUCGAUACUGCGAGGCUAGAGUAUCGGAGAGGUUGGUGGAAUUCUCGGUGUAGAGGUGAAAUUCGUAGAUAUCGAGAGGAACACCGGUGGCGAAGGCGGCCAACUGGACGAAUACUGACGCUGAGACUCGAAAGCGUGGGGAGCAAACAGG
RNAcentral lists this ribosomal RNA (253 nucleotides) under uncultured bacterium. RNAcentral describes it as "partial 16S ribosomal RNA". It matches the Rfam family "Bacterial small subunit ribosomal RNA", at positions 524 to 776 of the family's 1533-position model. The record is from RNAcentral.